RNAcentral lists this ribosomal RNA (492 nucleotides) under uncultured bacterium. Its description in RNAcentral is "partial 16S ribosomal RNA". It matches the Rfam family "Bacterial small subunit ribosomal RNA", at positions 29 to 507 of the family's 1533-position model. The record is from RNAcentral.
AGUGAACGCUGGCGGUAGGCCUAACACAUGCAAGCCGAACGGCAGCACAGUAAGAGCUUGCUCUUACGGGUGGCGAGUGGCGGACGGGUGAGGAAUACAUCGGAAUCUACUUUUUCGUGGGGGAUAACGUAGGGAAACUUACGCUAAUACCACAUACGACCUACGGGUGAAAGCAGGGGAUCUUCGGACCUUGCGCGAUUGAAUGAGCCGAUGUCGGAUUAGCUAGUUGGCGGGGUAAAGGCCCACCAAGGCGACGAUCCGUAGCUGGUCUGAGAGGAUGAUCAGCCACACUGGAACUGAGACACGGUCCAGACUCCUACGGGAGGCAGCAGUGGGGAAUAUUGGACAAUGGGCGCAAGCCUGAUCCAGCCAUACCGCGUGGGUGAAGAAGGCCUUCGGGUUGUAAAGCCCUUUUGUUGGGAAAGAAAAGCAGCAGGUUAAUACCCCGCUGUUCUGACGGUACCCAAAGAAUAAGCACCGGCUAACUUCGUG